This 754-nucleotide ribosomal RNA is filed under the name uncultured Chloroflexota bacterium. Its description in RNAcentral is "bacterial SSU rRNA". It matches the Rfam family "Bacterial small subunit ribosomal RNA", at positions 8 to 796 of the family's 1533-position model. The record is from RNAcentral. Lineage: Bacteria; Bacillati; Chloroflexota.
AGAGUUUGAUCCUGGCUCAGGAUCAACGCUGGCGGCGUGCCUAAUGCAUGCAAGUCGCACGGGCACUCUUCGGGGUGUCAGUGGCGAACGGCUGAGGAACACGUGCGUAUCUGCCGGUUCGUGGGGAAUAACGCGGAGAAAUCCGCGCUAAUACCGCGUACGCUUGCUUUUGAGCAAGGAAAGCCUUCGGGCGCGGGCGGUGGGGCGUGCGGCCCAUCAGGUGGUUGGCGGGGUAAUGGCCCACCAAGCCGGUGACGGGUCGCUGGUCUGUGAGGACGAUCAGCCAGACUGGGACUGAGACACGGCCCAGACACCUACGGGUGGCAGCAGCAAGGAAUCUUCGGCACUGGGCGCAAGCCUGACCGAGCAACGCCGCGUGGAGGACGACGGCCUUCGGGUUGUAAACUCCUUUCGGGGGGGACGAAACGGACGGUACCCUCAGAAGCAGCCCCGGCUAACUCUGUGCCAGCAGCCGCGGUAAUACAGAGGGGGCAAGCGUUGUCCGGAUUUACUGGGCGUACAGCGCGCGCAGGCGGUCGUCGACGUGCCGUGUGACAUUCCACUGCUUAACAGUGGCGGGCCACGGUAGACGCGGGGACUGGAGGCAGGGAGAGGGAUGUGGAAUACCCGGUGGAGCGGUGAAAUGCGUAGAGAUCGGGUGGAACACCAGCGGCGAAGGCGGCAUCCUGGUCCUGUUCUGACGCUGAGGCGCGAGAGCGUGGGGAGCGAACCGGAUUAGAUACCCUUGUAGUCC